AGAGUUUGAUCCUGGCUCAGGAUGAACGCUGGCGGCGUGGAUUAGGCAUGCAAGUCAAGGGGGCCGCAAGGCAACCGGCAGACGAGGUAGUAUAACGCAGGUACGCACCGAAAAGAUGGGCACAGCUCGUCGAAAGACGGGGUAAUUCCCAAUGUGGUAGCGAUACUAAAGGAGUAAUCCGCUUUUUGAGCGGCCUGCGCAGCAUCAGCUAGUUGGUAAGGUAACGGCUUACCAAGGCUAUGACGCUUAGGGGACCUGAGAGGGUGACCCCCACCGAUAGCACUGAGACACGGGCUAUACAUCUACGGAUGGCUGCAGUCGAGAAUCUUCCACAAUGGACGAAAGUCUGAUGGAGCGACGCCGCGUGACUGAUGAAGUCCUUCGGGACGUAAAGGUCUUUUAUGGGGGAGGAAGUCAUUGACGUUACCCCAUGAAUAAGGGGCUCCUAACUCUGUGCCAGCAGGAGCGGUAAUACAGAGGCCCCGAGCGUUAUCCGGAAUCACUGGGCGUAAAGGGUGUGUAGGCGGUCGUGUUAGUCUCUCGUAAAAGCUUCCUGGCUUAACCAGGAAAAUGCGGGAGAAACGGCACGACUUAGGAGGGCGCGAGAGGUAUACGGAACUCAUAGUGUAGGGGUGAAAUCCGUUGAUAUUAUGGGGAACACCAAAUGCGAAGGCAGUAUACUGGCGCGUACCUGACGCUGAGACACGAAAGCGUGGGAAUCGAACGGGAUUAGAUACCCUGGUAGUCC
This 748-nucleotide ribosomal RNA is filed under the name uncultured bacterium. RNAcentral describes it as "bacterial SSU rRNA". It matches the Rfam family "Bacterial small subunit ribosomal RNA", at positions 8 to 796 of the family's 1533-position model. The record is from RNAcentral.